GAUGAAGAACGUAGUAAAAUGCGAUAAUUAAUGUGAAUUGCAGAAUUCCGUGAAUCAUCGAGUCUUUGAACGCACAUUGCGCCUCAUGGCAUUCCGUGAGGCAUGCCCAUCUCAGCGUUAGAAAAUAUUCUCAAAUUUUAGUUUUGUGCUAAAAUUUGGAUCAUGUCAAGGAAGCUAUUACUAUUAUUGUGAUCGCUCUUUGGAAAUUGAUAGGUCUUUGAGUUGCUACUCAUAGAACGUGAUGAAUCUUUCUUCGUUCUAUUGUAAUUCACUCUGGUAGUCCUAAAACUUGUAUGCCUGUGGCAUAUCUUGUAAUUUGACCUGAGAUUGGGUAGGGAUACCCGCUGAACUUAAGCAUAUCAAUAAGCGGAGGA
This 374-nucleotide unclassified non-coding RNA is filed under the name soil metagenome. RNAcentral describes it as "partial contains internal transcribed spacer 2 and large subunit ribosomal RNA". The stretch from base 1 to 120 matches the Rfam family "5.8S ribosomal RNA", at positions 35 to 154 of the family's 154-position model. The record is from RNAcentral.